Molecule: ribosomal RNA, 2891 nt
Filed under: Campylobacter ureolyticus
Lineage: Bacteria; Pseudomonadati; Campylobacterota; Epsilonproteobacteria; Campylobacterales; Campylobacteraceae
Description: 23S ribosomal RNA
Rfam family: Bacterial large subunit ribosomal RNA
Source: RNAcentral
AGGUAAGCUACUAAGAGCGAAUGGUGGAUGCCUUGGUUGGUAGAGGCGAUGAAAGACGUGCUAGACUGCGAUAAGUCUCGGGGAGUUGUCAAGGAGCUUUGAUCCGGGAAUUUCUGAAUGGGGAAACCCAGUAUAUAGUGAUAUAUACUACCUAUAUGGAGCAAACGUGGGGAAUUGAAACAUCUUAGUACCCACAGGAAAAGAAAUCAAAUGAGAUUACGAAAGUAGCGGCGAGCGAAAUCGUAAAAGGGCAAACCACUAGUUUACUAGUGGGGUUGUAGGACUGUAACAUAGACUAAAAAGAGUUAAUAGAAUAAUCUGGAAAGUUUAAGCAUAGAGGGUGAUACUCCCGUAUAUGAAAACUCUUUUUUACUUAACAGUAUCCUGAGUAGGGCGAGGCACGUGAAACCUUGUCUGAAUCUGGGAAGACCACUUUCCAACCCUAAAUACUACUACCAAACCGAUAGUGAACAAGUACCGUGAGGGAAAGGUGAAAAGAACGGGGGUGACCCGAGUGAAAUAGAACCUGAAACCAUUUGCUUACAAUCAUUCAGAGCACGAUUCUUUAUGACGUGUGAUGGACUGCCUUUUGCAUAAUGAGCCUGCGAGUUGUGAUAUCUGGCAAGGUUAAGGAAAUCCGGAGCCGUAGCGAAAGCAAGUCUUAAUAGGGCGUUUAGUCAGAUAUUGCAGACCCGAAACGAAGUGAUCUAUCCAUGAGCAGGUUGAAACCGGUGUAAGAGCCGGCGGAGGACCGAACCCGCUGACGUUGAAAAGUCUUGGGAUGACUUGUGGAUAGGGGUGAAAGGCCAAUCAAACUUCGUGAUAGCUGGUUCUCUCCGAAAUAUAUUUAGGUAUAGCGUUAUGUAGUAAUUAGAGGGGGUAGAGCACUGAAUGGGCUAGGGCAUACACCAAUGUACCAAACCCUAUCAAACUCCGAAUACCUUUAAUGUAAUCAUAGCAGUCAGGCGGCGAGUGAUAAAAUCCGUCGUCAAAAGGGGAACAACCCAGACUACCGACUAAGGUCCCAAAAUCUUAUUUAAGUGGAAAACGAUGUGAAGUUACUUAAACAACCAGGAGGUUGGCUUAGAAGCAGCCAUCCUUUAAAGAUAGCGUAAUAGCUCACUGGUCUAGUGAUUUUGCGCGGAAAAUAUAACGGGGCUAAAAUAAGUACCGAAGUCGUAGACUUAGUUUUACUAAGUGGUAGGAGAGCGUUGUAUUUAGCGUUGAAGAUGUACCGGUAAGGAGCGUUGGAGCAAAUACAAGUGAGCAUGCAGGCAUGAGUAGCGUUAAAUCAGGUGAGAAUCCUGAUCGCCGAAAACCCAAGGUUUCCUACGCGAUGCUCGUCAUCGUAGGGUUAGUCGGGUCCUAAGCAAAGUCCGAAAGGGGUAUGCGAUGGAAAAUUGGUUAAUAUUCCAAUACCAAUUAUUAUGUGCGAUGGAAGGACGCUUAAAGUUAGUGGAGCUAACUGAUGGAAUAGUUAGUCUAAGGUCGUAGGUUGAGUUAUAGGCAAAUCCGUAACUCUUUAUCCGAAAGCUUAAAGGCUUACAAAGCUCUUCGGAGUAGCGUAAGAAUCCAUGAUACUAUAGAGCCAAGAAAAGUUUCUAAGUUUAGUAAUAAUUGCCCGUACCGUAAACCGACACAGGUGGGUGGGAUGAGUAUUCUAAGGCGCGUGGAAGAACUCUCUUUAAGGAACUCUGCAAAAUAGCACCGUAUCUUCGGUAUAAGGUGUGCCUACCAGGGUGCAAGCCCUAGAGGUUACAACAAAGAGUCCCUCCCGACUGUUUACCAAAAACACAGCACUCUGCUAACACGUAAGUGGAUGUAUAGGGUGUGACGCCUGCCCGGUGCUCGAAGGUUAAUUGAUGGAGUUAGCAUUAGCAAAGCUCUUGAUCGAAGCCCGAGUAAACGGCGGCCGUAACUAUAACGGUCCUAAGGUAGCGAAAUUCCUUGUCGGUUAAAUACCGACCUGCAUGAAUGGCGUAACGAGAUGGGAGCUGUCUCAAAGAGGGAUCCAGUGAAAUUGUAGUGGAGGUGAAAAUUCCUCCUACCCGCGGCAAGACGGAAAGACCCCGUGGACCUUUACUAUAGCUUGACACUGCUACUUGGAUAAAGAUGUGCAGGAUAGGUGGGAGAUUAUGAUCUAUAGAUGCUAGUCUAUAAGGAGUCAUCCUUGAGAUACCACUCUUCUUUAUUCGGGUAGCUAACUAGCCUAAGUUAUCCUUAGGUAGGACAAUGUCUGGUGGGUAGUUUGACUGGGGCGGUCGCCUCCCAAAUAAUAACGGAGGCUUACAAAGGUUGGUUCAAAACGGUUGGAAAUCGUUUGUAGAGUAUAAAGGCAAAAACCAGCUUAACUGCGACACCGACAAGUGGAGCAGAGACGAAAGUCGGUCUUAGUGAUCCGGUGGUUCUGUGUGGAAGGGCCAUCGCUCAAAGGAUAAAAGGUACCCCGGGGAUAACAGGCUGAUCUCCCCCAAGAGCUCACAUCGACGGGGAGGUUUGGCACCUCGAUGUCGGCUCAUCGCAUCCUGGGGCUGGAGCAGGUCCCAAGGGUAUGGCUGUUCGCCAUUUAAAGCGGUACGCGAGCUGGGUUCAGAACGUCGUGAGACAGUUCGGUCCCUAUCUGCCGUGGGCGUAAGAAGAUUGAGGAGAGUUGACCCUAGUACGAGAGGACCGGGUUGAACCAACCACUGGUGUAUAAGUUGUCCUGCCAAGGGCACCGCUUAGUAGCUAAGUUGGGAUGUGAUAAGAGCUGAAAGCAUCUAAGCUCGAAGCCAACUCCAAGAUUAAUCUUCUUUUAAGAGCUCUUAUAGACUAUAAGUUUGAUAGGCUGGGUGUGUAAUUGAUGUAAGUCAUUUAGCUGACCAGUACUAAUAGCUCGUUUGCUUAUCUAU